This 85-nucleotide transfer RNA is filed under the name Felis catus (domestic cat). It matches the Rfam family "tRNA". Rfam says of the family: Transfer RNA (tRNA) molecules are approximately 80 nucleotides in length. Their secondary structure includes four short double-helical elements and three loops (D, anti-codon, and T loops). Further hydrogen bonds mediate the characteristic L-shaped molecular structure. tRNAs have two regions of fundamental functional importance: the anti-codon, which is responsible for specific mRNA codon recognition, and the 3' end, to which the tRNAs corresponding amino acid is attached (by aminoacyl-tRNA synthetases). tRNAs cope with the degeneracy of the genetic code in two manners: having more than one tRNA (with a specific anti-codon) for a particular amino acid; and 'wobble' base-pairing, i.e. permitting non-standard base-pairing at the 3rd anti-codon position. The record is from Rfam by way of RNAcentral. Lineage: Eukaryota; Metazoa; Chordata; Mammalia; Carnivora; Felidae.
ACCUGAGUGGCUCAGUGGGUUGAGCGUCCAACUUUGGCUCGGGUCAUGAUUUUGUGGUUAGUGGGUUCAAGUCCCAUGUCAGGUU